GGCCUUGUGGUGUAGUGGUAGCACACCUGCUCUACUUUGCAUGGGCUCAUCGAGAUUCAGCAGGAGAUUCCUUGUUCGACUCAAGGCUAGGUCA
Non-coding RNA from Mycena latifolia, 94 nucleotides. The record is from the annotation of a GenBank genome assembly. NCBI's taxonomy places the organism in Eukaryota, Fungi, Basidiomycota, Agaricomycetes, Agaricales, Mycenaceae.